GGGCAGAUAGCUCAACGGUAGAGCAGGUGCCUUUUAAGCACUUGGUUCAGGGUUCGAAUCCCUGUCUGCCCACAA
This 75-nucleotide transfer RNA is filed under the name Candidatus Methylacidiphilum fumarolicum. RNAcentral describes it as "Methylacidiphilum fumariolicum tRNA-Lys". It matches the Rfam family "tRNA". Rfam says of the family: Transfer RNA (tRNA) molecules are approximately 80 nucleotides in length. Their secondary structure includes four short double-helical elements and three loops (D, anti-codon, and T loops). Further hydrogen bonds mediate the characteristic L-shaped molecular structure. tRNAs have two regions of fundamental functional importance: the anti-codon, which is responsible for specific mRNA codon recognition, and the 3' end, to which the tRNAs corresponding amino acid is attached (by aminoacyl-tRNA synthetases). tRNAs cope with the degeneracy of the genetic code in two manners: having more than one tRNA (with a specific anti-codon) for a particular amino acid; and 'wobble' base-pairing, i.e. permitting non-standard base-pairing at the 3rd anti-codon position. Lineage: Bacteria; Pseudomonadati; Verrucomicrobiota; Methylacidiphilae; Methylacidiphilales; Methylacidiphilaceae. RNAcentral also lists the same sequence under 1 other name. The record is from RNAcentral.